This 443-nucleotide ribosomal RNA is filed under the name uncultured prokaryote. RNAcentral's name for it is "bacterial SSU rRNA". It matches the Rfam family "Bacterial small subunit ribosomal RNA", at positions 355 to 796 of the family's 1533-position model. The record is from RNAcentral.
UGGGGAAUCUUGGGCAAUGGGCGCAAGCCUGAUCCAGCCAUGCCGCGUGGGUGAAGAAGGCCUUCUGGGUUGUAAACUGCUUUUAUACAGGAAUAAAAUGGCUCUGCGGGGCGGAUUGCAUGUACUGUAUGAAUAAGCACCGGCUAACUCCGUGCCAGCAGCCGCGGUAAUACGGAGGGUGCAAGCGUUGUCCGGAUUUAUUGGGUUUAAAGGGUGCGUAGGCGGGUAUUUAAGUCAGUGGUGAAAUCCCUGAGCUCAACUGAGGAAUUGCCAUUGAUACUGGAUAUCUUGAUUACCGUAUAGGUAGGCGGAAUUUAUGGUGUAGCGGUGAAAUGCAUAGAUACCAUAAAGAACACCGAUAGCGAAGGCAGCUUACUGGACGUGUAAUGACGCUGAUGCACGAAAGCGUGGGUAGCGAACGGGAUUAGAUACCCCCGUAGUCC